AACGAACGCUGGCGGCAGGCUUAACACAUGCAAGUCGAACGCCCCGCAAGGGGAGUGGCAGACGGGUGAGUAACGCGUGGGAACAUACCCUUUUCUACGGAAUAGCUCUGGGAAACUGGGAUUAAUACCGUAUACGCCCUACGGGGGAAAGAUUUAUCGGGGAAGGAUUGGCCCGCGUUGGAUUAGCUAGUUGGUGGGGUAAAGGCCUACCAAGGCGACGAUCCAUAGCUGGUCUGAGAGGAUGAUCAGCCACAUUGGGACUGAGACACGGCCCAAACUCCUACGGGAGGCAGCAGUGGGGAAUAUUGGACAAUGGGCGGAAGCCUGAUCCAGCCAUGCCGGGUGAGUGAUGAAGGCCUUAGGGUUGUAAAGCUCUUUCACCGAUGAAGAUAAUGACGGUAGUCGGAGAAGAAGCCCCGGCUAACUUCGUG
Molecule: ribosomal RNA, 431 nt
Filed under: uncultured bacterium
Lineage: Bacteria
Description: partial 16S ribosomal RNA
Rfam family: Bacterial small subunit ribosomal RNA
Source: RNAcentral